UACGGAGGAGGCAAGCGUUAUCCGGAAUUAUUGGGCGUAAAGCGUCCGUAGGUGGUGGGGCAAGUCGGCGGUUAAAGACUGGGGCUUAACUCCAGAAAGGCCGUGGAAACUGCACCACUAGAGGGCAGUAGGGGUAGAGGGAAUUCCCGGUGUAGCGGUGAAAUGCGUAGAGAUCGGGAAGAACACCAGUGGCGAAAGCGCUCUACUGGACUGCAACUGACACUCAGGGACGAAAGCUAGGGGAGCGAAUGGG
Molecule: ribosomal RNA, 253 nt
Filed under: uncultured bacterium
Lineage: Bacteria
Description: partial 16S ribosomal RNA
Rfam family: Bacterial small subunit ribosomal RNA
Source: RNAcentral